CUCUGUUGUUAGGGAAGAACAAGUGCUAGUUGAAUAAGCUGGCACCUUGACGGUACCUAACCAGAAAGCCACGGCUAACUACGUGCCAGCAGCCGCGGUAAUACGUAGGUGGCAAGCGUUAUCCGGAAUUAUUGGGCGUAAAGCGCGCGCAGGUGGUUUCUUAAGUCUGAUGUGAAAGCCCACGGCUCAACCGUGGAGGGUCAUUGGAAACUGGGAGACUUGAGUGCAGAAGAGGAAAGUGGAAUUCCAUGUGUAGCGGUGAAAUGCGUAGAGAUAUGGAGGAACACCAGUGGCGAAGGCGACUUUCUGGUCUGUAACUGACACUGAGGCGCGAAAGCG
This 339-nucleotide ribosomal RNA is filed under the name Bacillus cereus. RNAcentral's name for it is "bacterial SSU rRNA". It matches the Rfam family "Bacterial small subunit ribosomal RNA", at positions 431 to 761 of the family's 1533-position model. Lineage: Bacteria; Bacillati; Bacillota; Bacilli; Caryophanales; Bacillaceae. The record is from RNAcentral.